Molecule: transfer RNA, 72 nt
Filed under: Proteomonas sulcata
Lineage: Eukaryota; Cryptophyceae; Pyrenomonadales; Geminigeraceae
Description: tRNA-Glu
Rfam family: tRNA
About the family: Transfer RNA (tRNA) molecules are approximately 80 nucleotides in length. Their secondary structure includes four short double-helical elements and three loops (D, anti-codon, and T loops).
Source: RNAcentral
ACCCUCUUCGUCUAGUGGUUAGGACAUCACUUUUUCACGGUGUAAACACGAGUUCAAACCUCGUAGAGGGUA